RNAcentral lists this ribosomal RNA (2124 nucleotides) under Vibrio parahaemolyticus. Its description in RNAcentral is "partial 23S ribosomal RNA". It matches the Rfam family "Bacterial large subunit ribosomal RNA", at positions 586 to 2697 of the family's 2925-position model. Lineage: Bacteria; Pseudomonadati; Pseudomonadota; Gammaproteobacteria; Vibrionales; Vibrionaceae. The record is from RNAcentral.
UUGUCCUGUGACUGCGUACCUUUUGUAUAAUGGGUCAGCGACUUAUAUUCAGUGGCAAGGUUAACCAUCUAGGGGAGCCGUAGGGAAACCGAGUCUUAACUGGGCGUUCAGUCUCUGGAUAUAGACCCGAAACCAGGUGAUCUAGCCAUGGGCAGGUUGAAGGUUGAGUAACAUCAACUGGAGGACCGAACCGACUAAUGUUGAAAAAUUAGCGGAUGACUUGUGGCUAGGGGUGAAAGGCCAAUCAAACCUGGAGAUAGCUGGUUCUCCCCGAAAGCUAUUUAGGUAGCGCCUCGGACGAAUACUACUGGGGGUAGAGCACUGUUAAGGCUAGGGGGUCAUCCCGACUUACCAACCCUUUGCAAACUCCGAAUACCAGUAAGUACUAUCCGGGAGACACACGGCGGGUGCUAACGUCCGUCGUGGAGAGGGAAACAACCCAGACCGCCAGCUAAGGUCCCAAAUUACUACUAAGUGGGAAACGAUGUGGGAAGGCUCAGACAGCCAGGAUGUUGGCUUAGAAGCAGCCAUCAUUUAAAGAAAGCGUAAUAGCUCACUGGUCGAGUCGGCCUGCGCGGAAGAUGUAACGGGGCUAAGUAGUAAACCGAAGCUGCGGCAAUGUGCUUUUGCACAUUGGGUAGGGGAGCGUUCUGUAAGCGGUUGAAGGUGUGUGGUAACGCAUGCUGGACGUAUCAGAAGUGCGAAUGCUGACAUGAGUAACGAUAAAGGGGGUGAAAAACCUCCUCGCCGGAAGACCAAGGGUUCCUGUCCAACGUUAAUCGGGGCAGGGUAAGUCGACCCCUAAGGCGAGGCCGAAAGGCGUAGUCGAUGGGAAACGGGUUAAUAUUCCCGUACUUCUUACAAUUGCGAUGGGGGGACGGAGAAGGCUAGGUGGGCCUGGCGACGGUUGUCCAGGUUCAAGUGCGUAGGCUUAAGAGUUAGGUAAAUCCGGCUCUUUUUAAGGCUGAGACACGACGUCGAGCACCUACGGGUGUGAAGUCAUUGAUGCCAUGCUUCCAGGAAAAGCCUCUAAGCUUCAGAUUGUAAGGAAUCGUACCCCAAACCGACACAGGUGGUCGGGUAGAGAAUACCAAGGCGCUUGAGAGAACUCGGGUGAAGGAACUAGGCAAAAUGGUACCGUAACUUCGGGAGAAGGUACGCUCUCGACGGUGAAGUCCCUCGCGGAUGGAGCUAUUGAGAGUCGCAGAUACCAGGUGGCUGCAACUGUUUAUUAAAAACACAGCACUGUGCAAAAUCGUAAGAUGACGUAUACGGUGUGACGCCUGCCCGGUGCCGGAAGGUUAAUUGAUGGGGUUAGACUUCGGUCGAAGCUCUUGAUCGAAGCCCCGGUAAACGGCGGCCGUAACUAUAACGGUCCUAAGGUAGCGAAAUUCCUUGUCGGGUAAGUUCCGACCUGCACGAAUGGCGUAAUGAUGGCCACGCUGUCUCCACCCGAGACUCAGUGAAAUUGAAAUCGCUGUGAAGAUGCAGUGUACCCGCGGCUAGACGGAAAGACCCCGUGAACCUUUACUACAGCUUGGCACUGAACAUUGACCCUACAUGUGUAGGAUAGGUGGGAGGCUUUGAAGCACGUACGCCAGUAUGUGUGGAGCCGUCCUUGAAAUACCACCCUUGUAGUGUUGAUGUUCUAACGUCGACCCCUUAUCGGGGUUGCGGACAGUGCCUGGUGGGUAGUUUGACUGGGGCGGUCUCCUCCCAAAGAGUAACGGAGGAGCACGAAGGUGGGCUAAUCACGGUUGGACAUCGUGAGGUUAGUGCAAUGGCAUAAGCCCGCUUGACUGCGAGAAUGACAAUUCGAGCAGGUGCGAAAGCAGGUCAUAGUGAUCCGGUGGUUCUGAAUGGAAGGGCCAUCGCUCAACGGAUAAAAGGUACUCCGGGGAUAACAGGCUGAUACCGCCCAAGAGUUCAUAUCGACGGCGGUGUUUGGCACCUCGAUGUCGGCUCAUCACAUCCUGGGGCUGAAGUCGGUCCCAAGGGUAUGGCUGUUCGCCAUUUAAAGUGGUACGCGAGCUGGGUUUAGAACGUCGUGAGACAGUUCGGUCCCUAUCUGCCGUGGGCGUUGGAAGAUUGAAGGGGGCUGCUCCUAGUACGAGAGGACCGGAG